GUCCACGCCUUGUGGCGGCUUACGGAGCUGCUGCUUUGGCGGGAGUUGGCGGCUGGUGUGAGGCUCUCAUGGCCACCAUGUUGGAAGGCAGAUGCCAAACUCAGCCAAGGAGCAGCCCCAGUGGCCGAGAGACUAGCCUGUGGUCCUCAGGCUUUGGGAUGAAGCUGGAGGCUGUCACUCCAUUCCUGGGGAAGUAUCGCCCCUUUGUGGGUCGCUGUUGCCAGACCUGCACCCCCAAGAGCUGGGAGUCCCUCUUCCACAGAAGCAUAACGGACCUAGGCUUCUGCAAUGUGAUCCUGGUGAAGGAGGAGAACACGAGGUUUCGGGGCUGGCUGGUUCGGAGGCUCUGCUAUUUCCUGUGGUCCCUGGAGCAGCACAUCCCCCCCUGCCAGGAUGCCCCACAGAAGAUCAUGGAAAGUACCAGGGUACAGAACCUCCUCUCAGGGAGGGUCCCAGGAGGCGCUGGGGAAGGCCAGGUGCCCGACCUUGUGAAGAAGGAGGUACAGCGCAUCCUGGGUCACACCCAGGCCCCACCCUGUUCCUUCCUGGUCAGGCUGUUCAGCUGGGCGCUGCUGCGGUUCCUGAACUGCCUCUUCCUGAAUGUGCAGCUCCACAAGGGUCAGAUGAAGAUGGUCCAGAAGGCCGCCCAGGCAGUAAGGCCCGCCCUCCAUUGGGAUGGGGAUGGUGGGAGCAGAAGAGCAGAGGCUGGACCAAGCCCUUAAGUCGGGAGCAGUCCCCAUCUGGUCCUGCUUCCUGGCCUCUCUGCUCCCAGCCAUACAGCAGUCCAGUCCCCAUCAGCUGGUGGGAAAAAUCCCCUGCUCUUUGCCGACCUUCCCUUUAUGUCUCACGGCCCUGCUCCCGCGGGGCUUCCUCUAACGUCUUUCCAUCAUGGUCUCAACAACCAUUACGUCAGUGCGUCAGUGCAAUUACCUUAAAAGUUGUCUAAAGGCUCCUUUGCUUUUGGGAAAUGUGCUCAGAGGAAGAACUCUGCAGCUGAACCGUCCCUCCCUCUGGGGCUGCCCUGGGUCUUUGGCUGCCUGUGUCCUCAGGGUGGGGCAGGUUGGCACUUCCCUCUGGCUCUCCCCGGAGCAGGGCUCGCCGCUUGUCCUCCUCUCUACUCACAAAACCCUCCUGGACGGGAUCCUGCUGCCCUUUUUGCUGCUCUCCCAGGGCCUGGGUGUGCUCCGUGUGGCCUGGGACUCCCGCGCCUGCUCCCCUGCCCUCAGAGCUCUGCUGAGGAAGCUUGGGGGACUUUUCCUGCCCCCAGAGGCCAACUUCUCCCUGGACAACUCUGAGGGGCUCCUUGCAAGGGCUGUGGUCCAGGCGGUCAUAGAGCAGCUGCUGGUUAGUGGGCAGCCCCUGCUCAUCUUCCUGGAGGAACCUCUUGGGGCUCUGGGGCCACGGCUGUCAGCCCUGGGCCAGGCUUGGGUGGGGUUUGUGGUGCAGGCAGUCCAGGUGGGCAUCGUCCCAGAUGCUCUGCUGGUACCAGUGGCCAUCACCUAUGACCUGGUUCCGGAUGCACCGUGUGACACAGACCAUGCCUUGGCCCCCCUGGGGCUGUGGACAGGAGCUCUGGCUGUCCUACGUAGUCUGUGGAGCCACUGGGGCUGCAGCUGCUGGAUCUGCUCCCGGGUGCACCUAGCUCAGCCCUUUUCCCUGCAGGAAUACAUCGUCAGUGCCAGAAGCUGCUGGGGCGGCAGGCAGACCCUGGAGCAGCUACUGCAGCCCAUCGUGCUGGGCCAAUGUACUGCUGUCCCAGACACUGAGAAGGAGCAGGAGUGGACCCCCAUAACUGGGCCUCUCCUGGCCCUCAAGGAAGAGGACCAGCUCCUGGUCAGGAGACUGAGCUGUCAUGUCCUGAGUGCCAGUGUGGGGAGCUCUGCGGUGAUGAGCACGGCCAUCAUGGCAACGCUGCUGCUAGUCAAGCACCAGAAGGGUGUGUUCCUGUCGCAGCUCCUGGGGGAGUUCUCCUGGCUGACGGAGGAGAUACUGUUGCGUGGCUUUGAUGUAGGCUUCUCUGGGCAGCUGCGGAGCCUGCUGCAGCACUCACUGAGCCUGCUGCGGGCGCACGUGGCCCUGCUGCGCAUCCGCCAGGGCGACUUGCUGGUGGUGCCGCGGCCUGGCCCAGGCCUCAUGCACCUGGCACGGCUGAGUGCUGAGCUGCUGCCCGUCUUCCUGAGCGAGGCUGUGGGCGCCUGUGCGGUGCGGGGGCUGCUGGCAGGCAGAGUGCCGCCCCAGGGGCCCUGGGAGCUGCAGGGCAUGUUGCUGCUGAGCCAGAAUGAGCUGUACUGCCAGAUCCUGCUGCUGAUGCACCUGCUGCCGCAAGACCUGCUGCUGCUAAAGCCCUGCCAGUCUUCCUACUGCUACUGUCAGGAGGUGCUGGACCGGCUCAUCCAGUGCGGGCUCCUGGUUGCUGAGGAGACCCCAGGCUCCCGGCCAGCCUGUGACACAGGGCGACAGCGAUUGAGCAGAAAGCUGCUGUGGAAACCGAGUGGGGACUUUACUGAUAGUGACAGUGAUGACUUCGAAGAGGCUGAGGGCCGGUACUUCAGGCUCAGCCAGCAGUCACACUGCCCAGACUUCUUUCUCUUCCUCUGCCGCCUGCUCAGCCCGUUGCUCAAGGCCUUUGCACAGGCUGCCGCCUUGAUACUGGUGAGACCCUUGUUCCCUUGCAGUCCUCGAGGCAGGCUCUGUCUGUGCUGGGCGCCAGGUCUAGGUCUUCUCUCUUCUGCAGUCGGGCUACACAGAGCAGCUGUUCCAGUUCCUGCAGGCCACCGCCCAGGAAGAAGGGAUCCUCGAGUAUGCGGACCCAAAGCUCGCCAUCAGUGCUAUCUGGACCUUCAGAGACCUAGGGGUUCUGCAGCAGACGCCGAGCCCUGCAGGCCCCAGGCUCCACCUGUCCCCUACUUUUGCCAGGCGGGACAAUCAGGAAAAACUAGAACAGUUCAUCCGGCAGUUCAUUUGUAGCUAGAACUGUGAGGAGGAGCCUGUGCUGAGACUUCUCAGCCCCAGAACACAGCUGUGUCCUAGAGCCAGAAGAUGGAGAGGAGCCUGCAAACCCUUAGCUGGUCUAUAAAUAUAAUCAUUGAGGCUUGAUUGUCCCUUGCCAUCUCUUGCUUUCUCCCUCCUUUGAUGUGAUAAACAAGGGGACCAGACGAGUUGUCUUUUCCCAAGCCCAGAAGCA
Molecule: small RNA, 3184 nt
Filed under: Pongo abelii (Sumatran orangutan)
Lineage: Eukaryota; Metazoa; Chordata; Mammalia; Primates; Hominidae
Description: retained intron
Source: RNAcentral